RNAcentral lists this ribosomal RNA (523 nucleotides) under uncultured bacterium. Its description in RNAcentral is "bacterial SSU rRNA". It matches the Rfam family "Bacterial small subunit ribosomal RNA", at positions 8 to 526 of the family's 1533-position model. The record is from RNAcentral.
AGAGUUUGAUCCUGGCUCAGGAUGAACGCUAGCGGCAGGCUUAAUACAUGCAAGUCGUGGGGCAGCAGGGGUAGCAAUACCCGCUGGCGACCGGCAAACGGGUGAGGAACAUGUACGCAACCUUCCUUUAACUGGAGAAUAGCCCCUCGAAAGAGGGAUUAAUACUCCGUAACAUCCCGAUGUGGCAUCACAACGGGAUUAUAGCUCCGGCGGUUAAAGAUGGGCGUGCACCUGAUUAGAUAGUUGGCGGGGUAACAGCCCACCAAGUCUGCGAUCAGUAACUGGUGUGAGAGCACGACCAGUCACACGGGCACUGAGACACGGGUCCGACUCCUACGGGAGGCAGCAGUAAGGAAUAUUGGUCAAUGGACGCAAGUCUGAACCAGCCAUGCCGCGUGGAGGAUUAAGGCCCUCUGGGUUGUAAACUCCUUUUAUCUGGGAAGAAAUGUACUUUUUCUUGAGUACUUGACGGUACCAGAGGAAUAAGCACCGGCUAACUCCGUGCCAGCAGCCGCGGUAAUAC